Molecule: long non-coding RNA, 238 nt
Organism: Alosa alosa (allis shad)
Lineage: Eukaryota; Metazoa; Chordata; Actinopteri; Clupeiformes; Clupeidae
Exons: 3
Source: RefSeq, a predicted model, not a curated record
UUCAGCACAGGUCAGAGUGGGGACAUCCUUUCAAAAGGCCCUGUUGCAGAGGUCACUUUGCCUUUGGCUGCGGCUGACCCUUUUGCCUUCACUCCCCUAACCACCACAAGACCGUCCUCAGACUGACCCUUCAGCCUGCAUGCCCCGUACUGUGCUGACAAUAGCAUCUGUAGAGGGCUGUCCCACUCAAAUCCUGAUGAAAUUUCAGGAGCAAAGCCACGGUGACCUUGACCUCAGA